GCGUGGGAAUCUACCGUACCCUACGGAAUAGCUCUGGGAAACUGGAGGUAAUACCGUAUACGCCCUUCGGGGAAAGAUUUAUCGGGUAUGAUGAGCCCGCGUUGGAUUAGCUAGUUGGUGGGGUAAAGGCCUACCAAGGCGACGAUCUAUAGCUGGUCUGAGAGGAUGAUCAGCCACAUUGGGACUGAGACACGGCCCAAACUCCUACGGGAGGCAGCAGUGGGGAAUAUUGGACAAUGGGCGCAAGCCUGAUCCAGCCAUGCCGCGUGAGUGAUGAAGGUCUUAGGAUUGUAAAGCUCU
Molecule: ribosomal RNA, 300 nt
Filed under: uncultured Agrobacterium sp.
Lineage: Bacteria; Pseudomonadati; Pseudomonadota; Alphaproteobacteria; Hyphomicrobiales; Rhizobiaceae
Description: bacterial SSU rRNA
Rfam family: Bacterial small subunit ribosomal RNA
Source: RNAcentral